CAAGUCGAGCGAGCUUUGCCUAUAGAAAUUCUUYGGAAUGGACAUAKAUACWAGCUWKYGGCGGAUGGGUGAGUAACGCGUGGGUAACCUGCCCUUAAGUCUGGGAUACCAUUUGGAAACAGAUGCUAAUACCGGAUAAAAGCUACUUUCGCAUGAAAGAAGUUUAAAAGGCGGCGUAAGCUGUCKCUAAAGGAUGGACCUGCGAUGCAUUAGCUAGUUGGUAAGGUAACGGCUUACCAAGGCGAUGAUGCAUAGCCGAGUUGAGAGACUGAUCGGCCACAUUGGGACUGAGACACGGCCCAAACUCCUACGGGAGGCAGCAGUAKGGAAUCUUCCACAAUGGACGAAAGUCUGAUGGAGCAACGCCGCGUGAGUGAAGAAGGUUUUCGGAUCGUAAAGCUCUGUUGUUGGUGAAGAAGGAUAGAGGUAGUAACUGGCCUUUAUUUGACGGUAAUCAACCAGAAAGUCACGGCUAACUACGUGCCAGCAGCCGCGGUAAUACGUAGGUGGCAWGCGUUGUCCGGAUUUAUUGGGCGUAAAGCGAGCGCAGGCGGAUUGAUAAGUCUGAUGUGAAAGCCUUCGGCUCAACCGAAGAACUGCAUCAGAAACUGUCAAUCUUGAGUGCAGAAGAGGAGAGUGGAACUCCAUGUGUAGCGGUGGAAUGCGUAGAUAUAUGGAAGAACACCAGUGGCGAAKGCGGCUCUCUGKUCUGUAACUGACGCUGAGGCUCGAAAGCAUGGGUAGCGAACAGGAUUAGAUACCCUGGUAKUCCAUGCCGUAAACGAUGAGUGCUAAGUGUUGGGAGKUUYCCGCCUCUCAGUGCUGCWCUAACGCAUUAAWCACUCCGCCUGGGGAGUACGACCGCAAGGUUGAAACUMAAGGAAUUGACGSGGGCCCGCMCAGCGGUGGAGCAUGUGGUUUAAUUCSAAGCACGCKAAKACCUUACMGGYCUUGACAUCCUUUGACCACCUAGAGAUAGGUUUUCCCUUCSGGACAAGARACAGGUGGKGCAKGCUGYSUCAKCUCGUGYCSUGARAUGUUUGGGUAAKUCCCGCAUCGAGCGCACCCUUGUUAUMGU
Molecule: ribosomal RNA, 1078 nt
Filed under: Lactobacillus jensenii
Lineage: Bacteria; Bacillati; Bacillota; Bacilli; Lactobacillales; Lactobacillaceae
Description: partial 16S ribosomal RNA
Source: RNAcentral